This 446-nucleotide ribosomal RNA is filed under the name uncultured Desulfurella sp. Its description in RNAcentral is "bacterial SSU rRNA". It matches the Rfam family "Bacterial small subunit ribosomal RNA", at positions 453 to 900 of the family's 1533-position model. Lineage: Bacteria; Pseudomonadati; Campylobacterota; Desulfurellia; Desulfurellales; Desulfurellaceae. The record is from RNAcentral.
UGAGUACGCGUACUCAGUUGUAGGUACCCUAAGAAUAAGGAUCGGCUAACUCCGUGCCAGCAGCCGCGGUAAUACGGAGGAUCCGAGCGUUAUCCGGAUUUAUUGGGUUUAAAGGGUGCGUAGGCGGGUUGAUAAGUCAGUGGUGAAAGGUUUGCGCUCAACGUAGACAUUGCCAUUGAAACUGUCAGUCUUGAGUACAAAUGAGGUAGGCGGAAUGUGUUGUGUAGCGGUGAAAUGCAUAGAUAUGACACAGAACACCAAUUGCGAAGGCAGCUUACUGGGAUGUAACUGACGCUGAGGCACGAAAGCGUGGGGAUCAAACAGGAUUAGAUACCCUGGUAGUCCACGCAGUAAACGAUGAUUACUAGCUGUUAGCGAUAGAAUGUUAGUGGCUAAGCGAAAGCGAUAAGUAAUCCACCUGGGGAGUACGACCGCAAGGUUGAAAC